Molecule: ribosomal RNA, 301 nt
Filed under: uncultured bacterium
Lineage: Bacteria
Description: partial 16S ribosomal RNA
Rfam family: Bacterial small subunit ribosomal RNA
Source: RNAcentral
CAGCAGCCACGGUAAUACAGAGGGUGCAAGCGUUAAUCGGAAUUACUGGGCGUAAAGCGCGCGUAGGUGGUUCGCCAAGUUGGAUGUGAAAUCCCCGGGCUCAACCUGGGAACUGCAUCCAAAACUGGCGAGCUAGAGUAUGGUAGAGGGUGGUGGAAUUUCCUGUGUAGCGGUGAAAUGCGUAGAUAUAGGAAGGAACAUCAGUGGCGAAGGCGACCACCUGGACUGAUACUGACACUGAGGUGCGAAAGCGUGGGGAGCAAACAGGAUUAGAGACCCCUGUAGUCCCUGUCUCUUAUAA